CAAUAGAGGCGCGAAGGUUAUGAGUAUCUGUCCGGAGACCGCGGAGUCACUGAAAGAUCGAGAAAGGAACAUUCGCCGAAACAUGCAGUUUCCGCAGGCUGCAGCAGUUGGGGUACAGUCGAACAGGCUGUGCACUCUCACCGCAUGGUGGAGGAGCUAU
RNAcentral lists this non-coding RNA (160 nucleotides) under uncultured Bariatricus sp. Its description in RNAcentral is "Lysine riboswitch". It matches the Rfam family "Lysine riboswitch aptamer". From Rfam's summary of the family: Riboswitches are metabolite binding domains within certain messenger RNAs that serve as precision sensors for their corresponding targets. Lineage: Bacteria; Bacillati; Bacillota; Clostridia; Lachnospirales; Lachnospiraceae. The record is from RNAcentral.